AGAGAGUGCAGACCAAUGUAGAGAGGAAAACACAGCUAAGCAAAAACACAGAGCCAAUGUUUUUCUUUUGAUGAUGGUGGUAACCCAAAGAUUUCAACAGAUGAGAAUAUAUAUCUUGCAAAUACAAGACUGAGGAAAAGGAUUGUCCUGGAAAAGUUGUUAAUGGAAGUUUUCUAAGAGCCAGAAUCAUUGUUCCAUAUGGGCAGCAGCAAAGAAAAAUCUCUCUUCACAAGCCUUUUAAGGAAAUUGAAUGCCAUAAGUAGAGGAGUUAAGACUGCAAGAUAUUCUUUGCAAGAUAUAAGUGAAUAGAACAUCUUUGGGCUUUUUGAGGUUUUUUUCCUCCUCUUUUGGAAGAAUCUAUAUAUUGGUAUAUUUCUGUAAUAAAAAUAAUUCAUUGAUAUUUUAAAGUUUUUAAUGACCUAUUUUACAUGUUGGGAUCUUUCUAGAACUAUGGCUACAUUCUAGAUGUAAAAAAAUGACAGACUCUCUGAAUAUAAUUUCUAAAUCAUGGGGCUAGAGGAGGGAAUAAAAAUAUUUGAAUAUAGUGUUAAUUUUAAAUUUUUGAUAAAUGUUACCAUUCCUUGAAGCAAAAUUUAUAUUAGCAGCUGUUUACAAGGCAUUCAGAUACUAUUAAUUCAAAAGAACAAAAACAAACAAAUGAAUACAAAAGUAAAACAAAAAACAUUUCUUUCUGAAGUUUUGUAUUUCACUUUCUGUCAAAUAGCAUUAGUGUUUUGAAGUCUUCUAUUUUUAUAGUCUUCUGUCCCUGAGUUGCACAACAGCUCUUCAAAAAUUAUUUCAAUUUAUUCAAAGAGUGCAUAUAUUUUUGUUAUAGUAUCUUGUUUCUGAGCAGCAUGCCAGCUCAAUAUUGUUACAUUAAAGUUUUUUUUUCCAAUUCCUCCCAAUUACAGUUUUUUCCAGUUCCUGGCAAAAUACAUUUUUACAAAAUAAUUCUUCAUUCUUUUAGACUACAAGUCCUUCUGUUCCUUUUUGGAGCUGUCUGAUUAAUUAUAGUCAUUAUAGUUAACUACAACAGAUGAUCAGAAUUGAAUUUUUUUUAAAUGUUAAGAAUUUACAGACAAGUCAGAUUUACUGUGGUCUUUUAAGAUCUGGGAUGGAGAAGGGGGAAAAAAACACAGAACAAAAUAAAAUGCAGCAAAAAAAUAGUAUUGAUCUUAAAUGUUUGUUUGCUUGAAAUAUAUUAGUGUUUUGGGGACCGUAAUAAUCAGCUUUAAAUUGUGCAUGUAUGCCCUGAUCCAAUGCCUAGAACAAGGAACAAAAGUCUCAGUUUGCAAUGGGAGAAGUCUAGGUUGGGUAUUAGGAAAAAACUC
Pelodiscus sinensis (Chinese soft-shelled turtle) is the source of this 1331-nucleotide non-coding RNA. The record is from RefSeq and is a predicted model, not a curated record. NCBI's taxonomy places the organism in Eukaryota, Metazoa, Chordata, Testudines, Trionychidae.